CCUACGGGAGGCAGCAGUGAGGAAUAUUGGUCAAUGGACGAGAGUCUGAACCAGCCAAGUAGCGUGAAGGAUGACUGCCCUAUGGGUUGUAAACUUCUUUUAUAUGGGAAUAAAACGUUCCACGUGUGGGAUUUUGUAUGUACUAUAUGAAUAAGGAUCGGCUAACUCCGUGCCAGCAGCCGCGGUAAUACGGAGGAUCCGAGCGUUAUCCGGAUUUAUUGGGUUUAAAGGGAGCGUAGGUGGAUUGUUAAGUCAGUUGUGAAAGUUUGCGGCUCAACCGUAAAAUUGCAGUUGAAACUGGCAGUCUGGAGUAAAGUAGGGGUGGGCGGAAUUGGUGGUGUAGCGGUGAAAUGCUUGGAUAUAACGAAGAACUCCAAUUGCGAAGGCAGUUCACUGGACUGCAACUGACACUGAGGCUCGAAGGUGUGGGUAUCAAACAGGAUUAGAUCCCGUGUAGUC
RNAcentral lists this ribosomal RNA (459 nucleotides) under uncultured bacterium. RNAcentral describes it as "partial 16S ribosomal RNA". It matches the Rfam family "Bacterial small subunit ribosomal RNA", at positions 338 to 795 of the family's 1533-position model. The record is from RNAcentral.